CGGGGGAAAAAUUUAUUGCUAUUAGAUGAGCCUAUAUUAGAUUAGCUAGUUGGUGGAGUAAUAGCCUACCAAGGCAAUGAUCUAUAGCUGAUCUGAGAGGAUGAUCAGCCACACUGGAACUGAGAUACGGUCCAGACUCCUACGGGAGGCAGCAGUGGGGAAUAUUGGACAAUGGGCGAAAGCCUGAUCCAGCCAUGCCGCAUGAGUGAAGAAGGCCUUUGGGUUGUAAAGCUCUUUUAGUGAGGAAGAUAAUGACGGUACUCACAGAAGAAGUCCUGGCUAACUCCGUGCCAGCAGCCGCGGUAAUACGGAGAGGGCUAGCGUUAUUCGGAAUUAUUGGGCGUAAAGGGCGCGUAGGCUGAUUAAUAAGUUAAAAGUGAAAUCCCGAGGCUUAACCUUGGAAUUGCUUUUAAAACUAUUAAUCUAGAGAUUGAAAGAGGAUAGAGGAAUUCCUGAUGUAGAGGUAAAAUUCGUAAAUAUUAGGAGGAACACCAGUGGCGAAGGCGUCUAUCUGGUUCAAAUCUGACGCUGAAGCGCGAAGGCGUGGGGAGCAAACAGGAUUAGAUACCCUGGUAGUCCACGCUGUAAACGAUGAAUGUUAAAUAUGGGAAGUUUACUUUCUGUAUUACAGCU
This 633-nucleotide ribosomal RNA is filed under the name Wolbachia endosymbiont of Bemisia tabaci. RNAcentral's name for it is "bacterial SSU rRNA". It matches the Rfam family "Bacterial small subunit ribosomal RNA", at positions 197 to 853 of the family's 1533-position model. Lineage: Bacteria; Pseudomonadati; Pseudomonadota; Alphaproteobacteria; Rickettsiales; Anaplasmataceae. The record is from RNAcentral.